CUAGGGUCACACAUCUGAUGCUCAUCUUUUCCUUUUUUUUUUUUUAACUUUACCUUCUGUUUUAAAAUCAAUAUUGUUUAUUGGCUUCAAGGCAGAAGAGUGGUACAAAUAUUGGUUAAAUGACUUCCCCACUGUCACACAGCUAGGAAGUAUCUGAGAUCAAAUUUGAACCCAGGACCUUGGUCUUUAGGCCUGGCUCUCAACCCACUGAGCCACCCAGCUGUCCCCUAUUCUCACCUUUUCUAAACAUUUCUCAAUCUUUCAUUCUAUCGGCCCAUGCCUUUCUGACUACAGGAAGUUCACUGCUUAUGGAGCCCUGCAUAUUCUUUUUUAUUCUACCAGUGACACAAUUAUAUUAGCCUCUGGGGAAGCUUCUGGCUGACUCUGGACUCCCAGUAAAAACUUAGUUUUGGAUGUCCCAUUUUCCAAAUAUCAAUGCUUUGGGGGAAUGAUGUUUUGUCUGUAAUGCUGACUCUCAGGGCUUCAUGACCUCUGACAUAGGCAUGACUGAGACAAUAGGGAAGGACUCAGAAAGUAUUAAGGAUGUCACAUUUCCUGAGUUGGUGACAUCCGGUCCUUCCCUGUACUUUAUGUCCAAAUUUCAGGAAGAUUGCCAGCAGCCAGAUACAAAACUUUGCCACGAAUACAAACAACAUGGCAAAUCCAGCUGAGUGGUGGGGAUUGCUGGGGUGGCAGGGAGAUUUGUGAGUAGGGAAUGGGAGUUCAGUAUGGCUCUGGGAAAAUCUGACAUGGAUGUAGAUUAUCUUCUAUUCCUCUAUCCUUUUCCCUUGACCUCUGCUACUGGUUUGCAUCUUCUCUCCCUUCUCCUUUAUCGGUGUUCUUAUUUCCUCCUAACUCCCACAGUCUGUGGACCAGUUGGGAGUUCCCCUGCCCUUUCAGCCAUGGAAGAAAUGUGGCCCCUCUGGAUGCUGAUGCCUGGUUGCCUUUCUUUACUUAUUCUCGAUCUUGUUCCUAUCCUAUCCCUGUGAGGGUGGGUAGGAUCCGGAAUCCCAAUGUAUAUCUGGAAGGAAAUGGCUUACGUUGGCAAGAGAGGCAGGAAAGGAGAGGGAAGGGAACCUACCGAGUGCCAGGUGCUAAGUGCUUUUUACAAAUGAUCUCAUUUGAGGUGGCCCCGUGGACAGAUACAGUGCUUGGAAUCAGGAAGAUCUGUCUCAGAAAGCUCCUCACUAUCCAGCCCUUGGUGUUAUGGAAGAAAAAUCUCCUUUUUGAGUUCAUGUGGUUGGUAACUGCUGCCAAAAUGGAUCUCCUACAAUGCAGAAAUUGUAAAGGUAAGAACCUGGGCUUUAGUAUGCUUAAGUAUAGUUUCAGAGAAGUGAAAAAAGAACCCCUGAACAACUAUUAGGGUUCUAACAAAGCUUUUUAUUGACAAAAUUAUGUCAGUGGCAGAGAAAUUAUUCUUUUUAACUCUUACCUUCAUUAACCAAUUAUAUCAGAGCGACAUAACAGAAAUAACAUUUCUGUUAUUUAUAUAUAUAGAUAUUUAUAUAUAUGUGUUAUUUAUAAAUAUAAAUAUUUAUAUAUAUGUUAUUUAUAUGUAUAUAAAUAACAGACAGAAAUAACAUUUUUUUAACCCUUAGCUUCUAUCUUAGUAUCAAUUCUAAGACGAAAGAGUGGCAAGGCUUAGGCAAUUGGAGUUAAGUGAUUUGCCCACUCACACUGCUAGGAAAUGUUUGAGGUCAGAUUUGAACCCAGGCUGCUUCCAACUCCAGACCUGAUUAUGUCCAUUGUGUAUCUAGCUGUUCCUAAGAAAUAAUUCUUUUAUGUAUUGCAAUCUCAUGUAUUCUUUUAGGCUACAAUAGUUUUUUAAAAAGAUAACUUUAAUUCUAUGCUUUCUUCAAUGUUAUAAAAGUUGAACAAGUUUAGUUAAGCUAAAUAAUAAUAUGAAACAGUCAGUUUUUUUUUAAAUCCUAAUAAUGAUUAUAAUCCCUUUUCAUUUUAAUCUGUUAAUCUUUUCCUGUUAAGGCAAGGGCUCUUAUACAUCCCCUAAAGAAGGUAAACUAAGUCAGGUUUCAGAGUAAACAACAUUUAGAAGUUUCACAAUGGGUUUAUUGAGAGGACAGAUUUACAUGCCUGAGUAUUAGAUGAAUCUUUCCUUAAAUCAACUAACUUGGAAAGCCUUGACUUCCUUUUUUGGCUUCUUAUCUAAGGAAUAUUUGAGGCCUUAAGUAAAUUUUAACAUCCCAUGAGACAAGUUCCCACCAGCUCAAUAACCUCUUUAACUAGGAGAAAUGGCCCUUCCCCAUUACAACCAACAGAAAGAAGGUAGUACAACUAAGGACGAUCAAGAAAAGUUUCCUAAAGGUGAGAUCUUAGUAUGGGCUUGAAGGAAGUUGGGAAAACCAGGAGGAAAAUGAGGAAGUAGAGUAUUUCAGGCAUGGGAGACACCAGAGAAAAUACCCAGAGUCAGGGAUAGCUAGGGGGCUCAGUGGAUUGAUAGCCAGGCCUAGAGUAUUGGUUUCUUUUCUUUUUUUCCCCCCAAGGCCUUGGUUUAUUUUUAAAAUGCAGUUUGUUAUUUUAUCUUUUAUUUUUACAUCACUAUUUCCCAAUGUCCCUUCUUUUCCUGCUCCUCCCAGAUAGCUAUUUUGUAUAUAAUAGAAACAAAGUAAAUGGAAACCAGUUCAUCCAAACUAAUGUAUUCAAAAGUCUGACAUUAUAUAUAGUGUUCCAUAUCCAUAGUGCACCCUUCUCCCUUUGUCUUCUGCAAAUUUUUAAAAUUUUACUUAUUUCCACAUUUUUUAAAGAAUAUUUUUCCAUGGUUACAUGAUUCAUGUUCUCUUCCUCCCUGCUUCCCUCCCUCCUCCUGGAACUGACAAACAAUUUCACUGGUUUAUGCAUGUCUUAUUAUAAAGUAUUGGUUUCAAGGAAGAAUGUAGGGACUAGGUAAUUGGAACUAAGUUACUUACCCAGCACUGCACAGCUAAAAAGUGUCCGGGGUCAAAUUUGAACUCAGGACCUCCCUGGCUCUCUAUCCACUGAAUCACCUAGCCCCCCAAACCCUGUGGACAUUUUUUUGUCCAUGAGGAUUUUUUGUCAAAGAUACUUGAGUGGUUUGCCAUUUCCUUCUCCAGUGUGCCCUCAAUUUACAGAAGAGGAACGAAGGCAAAUAGGGUGAAGUGACUUGCCAAGAGUCAUACAUUCCUAAGACAGGAUUUGAACUCAGAUCUUCCUGACUCCAACCCUGGUACUCUAUCCACUGCAUUACCUGCCUACCUCUAAUUAAAAAUUAGAACUAUGCCAAGUGGAAUAAGCUGCUUCUAAAGACCUUGAGCUCCUAUCAAUGAAUAUCUUUUUGGUAGAGGUUAGACUAGCUGUCUGAGGUCUUUUUCAUCUCAAAGAUGCCAAGAUUCUAUGAUAUUUAACUGAAUUUUAAAUUCCAUUAAUGAACUAUUUAAAUACAUUUAAAAGAAUAUAAGAAAAGCAUGCAAAAUGAAACAAAGAUUAUAAAUCAUUAUUUCUUAUCCAUAUCUAUAACUUCUAUUUUUGCCCUAUCCCAAAAGAUAUGUUUACUGACUUUUAACAAAGUAUUUCUGUUACCUUUGUUUUUUUUAUCCUUCUUUGAUUUUCAUUGGAUAUAUAACAUAGAUUUGCUGCCAUUAUUGUUGUCCUUAAUUCAAUGGUUUGGUCAAUGAAUGUUAUUUUUUUAGUUCUACUUUCUUCACUCUUAAUGACUGAACAAGUACCUUGAACAAGGACCUCCAUUCAAGCUUAGCCACACGGAAAGAUGAUCAUAUCUUUGAUCUUACUAUCACCCACAAAAGCACCAUUUCCAAGUUUAUGGAUUCUGAAAUUCUUUAUCUGAUCACAGUCUAUUAUCAUUUCCCCUAUCCAUCUGCUUUGCAAACCCGAUCCCUAUUCUUUGACCACACUAUGACCUUCAAUCCUCAUUCCUCUAGCCAUGCAAUACCUACAGUCUUCUACUUUCCCUUCAUUGAUCUGUUGGUGCAUCAAUUCAACUCUUCUCUUCCAAACUCAACUUCUUAAGUCCAUUGUUCCGGUAAAGAGUUAAACAACUGGGAAGCCAGGCAUUUCACAUGGACUAGACAGAGCCGUCUCUAGAGAUCUCAGAAUCUGCAAAGCUAGACUUGGGUUUUUGAUGCAAUUCUACUUGCUGAUUUGCAAAGAAGUUUUUAUUCGGAUCUCUCCUCAUUGAUUCCUUUGUAUAUUUUUAAAGGGUAUAAACAUUGUAGGUGGAAGGGGGAGCUACAAAGGGCUUGGGCUAAUGGUCUCUGGGUAGCAUUGUUGAUAUCUGGUAUCAUGGAACCUAAUAUUAUGAACCUCGUGCUUGUUAGAUCUUCUGUCUCAGGACACUUCGGAUUAGAGUUCUCUGCACAAUCACAAAUCCUGUAUCCACCUUAGCAGUUCCUCUUAGGGCUUGUGAGGAAUAGAAAUAUCCCAAUCAACCAAAAGAACAAAGAAGGUGCCAAAUGGCAAUAAUAUUCUGGGUCCUGGAAGUAUGGUUGCAAGACAUUCAGUUUGGGGCAUUAAGUUAUUGACCUGGACUCCUAUUGCAAGGUUCUCAGUGUUGAAAAUUCAAUAGCUCUGCAGUAAUAAAUACCCUGGUGGGGAGAUAUUUUUCUGUAGC
Long non-coding RNA from Monodelphis domestica (gray short-tailed opossum), 4603 nucleotides. The record is from Ensembl. NCBI's taxonomy places the organism in Eukaryota, Metazoa, Chordata, Mammalia, Didelphimorphia, Didelphidae.